This 398-nucleotide ribosomal RNA is filed under the name uncultured bacterium. RNAcentral's name for it is "partial 16S ribosomal RNA". It matches the Rfam family "Bacterial small subunit ribosomal RNA", at positions 523 to 918 of the family's 1533-position model. The record is from RNAcentral.
AUACGUAGGGUGCGAGCGUUGUCCGGAAUUACUGGGCGUAAAGAGCUCGUAGGUGGUUUGUCGCGUCGUCUGUGAAAUUCCGGGGCUUAACUCCGGACGUGCAGGCGAUACGGGCAUAACUUGAGUACUGUAGGGGAGACUGGAAUUCCUGGGGUAGCGGUGAAAUGCGCAGAUAUCAGGAGGAACACCGGUGCCGAAUGCGGGUCUCUGGGCAGUAACUGACGCUGAGGAGCGAAAGCAUGGGUAACGAACAGGAUUAGAUACCCUGGUAGUCCAUGCCGUAAACGGUGGGCGCUAGGUGUAGGGGUCUUCCACGACUUCUGUGCCGUAGCUAACGCAUUAAGCGCCCCGCCUGGGGAGUACGGCCGCAAGGCUAAAACUCAAAGGAAUUGACGGGG